This 295-nucleotide long non-coding RNA is filed under the name Mytilus galloprovincialis (Mediterranean mussel). Lineage: Eukaryota; Metazoa; Mollusca; Bivalvia; Mytilida; Mytilidae. The record is from RNAcentral.
CAGGAGGUCCUGGGCGGUUUUAAGACUUUCUGGAAAAUUAUUACUUAAAAUAUUUUUUUUACUGUUAAAUGAAAUACAUGUAAGUUCAUGGAGUGUCAGUGCGUUUUAAUUUAUUAUACAAAUGAGAGCCCAACUUUGGUAGUCCAGAUUGAACACAUUGGGCAAUCGUAUAUAUGCAAUCAGGAACAGAUGUAUCCACAAAAUUAUAAUAACAUUUUGUGUACUUUUCUGCUUUAAUAAAUCAUUUUUAAUACACAAUUAUUAUACUAUUUAUAAAUCAAUGUUUAAAAGUCAC